RNAcentral lists this ribosomal RNA (497 nucleotides) under uncultured bacterium. Its description in RNAcentral is "partial 16S ribosomal RNA". It matches the Rfam family "Bacterial small subunit ribosomal RNA", at positions 28 to 507 of the family's 1533-position model. The record is from RNAcentral.
GACGAACGCUGGCGGCGUGCUUAACACAUGCAAGUCGAACGGAGGGGCGCGUAGCUUUUUGGUCUGAGGUGAGGGGCGGCGGGGGGAGUAAUAAGAGGAUAAUAUACUUCUACGUCUGGGUGAAUAACGGCAAGCAGGUGUGGCUACCAGAGGAUAUUUUGAACCGGUCGCUUGAUGAGUGAAAGACGGAUAUUGUUUCGCUGAUGGAUGGACUCGCGCCGUAUUAGCUGGUUGGUGAGGUAAUGGCUUACCAAGGCGGCGAUGCAUAGCCGACCUGAGAGGGUGGUCGACCACACUGGAGCUGAGACGCGGUCCAGACGCCUACGGGGGGCAGCAGUAGGGAAGAUUACGGAAUGGGCGGAAGCCUGAUGGAGCAGCGCCGCGGGAGUGAUGAUGGUCGUCGGAUCGUAGAGAUCUGUUAUUGGGGGAGAAGAUAUGUGUAAGUGUCUGUGCACGUCUUGACGGUAGCUAGUCAGAAAGCGCCGGCUAACUACGUG